This 473-nucleotide ribosomal RNA is filed under the name uncultured bacterium. Its description in RNAcentral is "partial 16S ribosomal RNA". It matches the Rfam family "Bacterial small subunit ribosomal RNA", at positions 28 to 507 of the family's 1533-position model. The record is from RNAcentral.
GAUCAACGCUGGCGGCGCACAUAAGACAUGCAAGUUGAACGGACUUAAUCGAAAUAUUUAUAUUUUGAAGCGGUUAGUGGCGGACUGGUGAGUAACGCGUAAGGAACCUGCCUAUUAGAGGGGAAUAACAGUGAGAAAUCAUUGCUAAUACCGCAUAUGCCAUAGAUAUCACAUGAUAACAGUGGGAAAGGAGCAAUCCGCUAAUAGAUGGCCUUGCGUCUGAUUAGAUAGUUGGUGGGGUAACGGCCUACCAAGUCGACGAUCAGUAGCCGGACUGAGAGGUUGACCGGCCACAUUGGGACUGAGAUACGGCCCAGACUCCUACGGGAGGCAGCAGUCGGGAAUAUUGCGCAAUGGAGGAAACUCUGACGCAGUGACGCCGCGUAUAGGAAGAAGGUUUUCGGAUUGUAAACUAUUGUCGUUAGGGAAGAGAAAGGACAGUACCUAAGGAGGAAGCUCCGGCUAACUACGUG